UGGUUUUCUGGUAAUUUGAUA
RNAcentral lists this non-coding RNA (21 nucleotides) under Caenorhabditis elegans. Lineage: Eukaryota; Metazoa; Nematoda; Chromadorea; Rhabditida; Rhabditidae. The record is from RNAcentral.